RNAcentral lists this long non-coding RNA (270 nucleotides) under Homo sapiens (human). RNAcentral describes it as "non-protein coding lnc-CMBL-1:10". Lineage: Eukaryota; Metazoa; Chordata; Mammalia; Primates; Hominidae. The record is from RNAcentral.
UUCUGAAAGAAAGACUGAGACUUGCUGGAGGAAGUACUAGUAGUGCCAAGGGCAGGAACUCAACUGUUAGGCAGAAGGGAGGAAUGUACUGUUGAUAUGGACAGACUCCAAGAAGGGGAGGGACUGCUGGGACUACUAGAACGAGAAUGCCUCUGCCCCUAUGGCUCAGCUCUGCAACUCUCUCUGCACAUUGGCUUCAUGCUGUUAGACCAGCUUCCUCCAUAUGUCUGGAAACAAGGCCACUGACAGCUCCCAACAUUUCAUCUUCUG